GAGAGAGAUUUGAUCAUAACGAAAACUGCUAAUUUUCGCCCUCUUGGUUUAAUUCCAAGACUCCCUCG
Molecule: transfer RNA, 68 nt
Filed under: Aphyosemion coeleste (sky-blue killifish)
Lineage: Eukaryota; Metazoa; Chordata; Actinopteri; Cyprinodontiformes; Nothobranchiidae
Description: tRNA-Ser
Source: RNAcentral